UUCUCCCACCUUCCCCCCGCAUGACGGCGGCCCCUUCUUUCUUCCCUUUCAUCUUCUUUCACCUCCCUCCCACGGCGCGGCGGCCCCAGUAUCACACAAGUCCAGAUCUAGCAAGUCUGAUCUUUGUCCCCCGGUAUCGCAAGUUCCUCUCCUGCAAGAAGAUUGUUGUAUGUAUGGAUCUCACAAGUUCAGAUCCGAUCCUUCUCCCUCUCUCGCAGAGGGGGUAGAGUUUGGGAGUGAAGUGAAGAAGCUGAAGUCAUGGUGAUGAAGAUUGAGUUUCUUCAUCCAAGAAUUAAAAGCACUGUAGAGAAAACUUUGCAGAAGACAUGAUAUAAUGGGAGACAUAUGGGUGAAGCCUGAUUCUUUCCCCUUUUGUUGUUGUUGUUGUUUAGUGAUGAACUGAUAAUGGAAUUGAUGUUGCGAAA
This is a long non-coding RNA of Neltuma alba, 425 nucleotides long. RefSeq lists it as uncharacterized. The record is from RefSeq and is a predicted model, not a curated record. Lineage: Eukaryota; Viridiplantae; Streptophyta; Magnoliopsida; Fabales; Fabaceae. The transcript has 2 exons.